RNAcentral lists this ribosomal RNA (904 nucleotides) under uncultured bacterium. RNAcentral describes it as "bacterial SSU rRNA". It matches the Rfam family "Bacterial small subunit ribosomal RNA", at positions 8 to 903 of the family's 1533-position model. The record is from RNAcentral.
AGAGUUUGAUCCUGGCUCAGAUUGAACGCUGGCGGCAGGCCUAACACAUGCAAGUCGAGCGGUAGCACAGAGAGCUUGCUCUCGGGUGACGAGCGGCGGACGGGUGAGUAAUGUCUGGGAAACUGCCUGAUGGAGGGGGAUAACUACUGGAAACGGUAGCUAAUAUCGCAUAAUGUCGCAAGACCAAAGUGGGGGACCUUCGGGCCUCAUGCCAUCAGAUGUGCCCAGAUGGGAUUAGCUAGUAGGUGGGGUAACGGCUCACCUAGGCGACGAUCCCUAGCUGGUCUGAGAGGAUGACCAGCCACACUGGAACUGAGACACGGUCCAGACUCCUACGGGAGGCAGCAGUGGGGAAUAUUGCACAAUGGGCGCAAGCCUGAUGCAGCCAUGCCGCGUGUGUGAAGAAGGCCUUCGGGUUGUAAAGCACUUUCAGCGGGGAGGAAGGCGUUAAGGUUAAUAACCUUGGCGAUUGACGUUACCCGCAGAAGAAGCACCGGCUAACUCCGUGCCAGCAGCCGCGGUAAUACGGAGGGUGCAAGCGUUAAUCGGAAUUACUGGGCGUAAAGCGCACGCAGGCGGUCUGUCAAGUCGGAUGUGAAAUCCCCGGGCUCAACCUGGGAACUGCAUUCGAAACUGGCAGGCUAGAGUCUUGUAGAGGGGGGUAGAAUUCCAGGUGUAGCGGUGAAAUGCGUAGAGAUCUGGAGGAAUACCGGUGGCGAAGGCGGCCCCCUGGACAAAGACUGACGCUCAGGUGCGAAAGCGUGGGGAGCAAACAGGAUUAGAUACCCUGGUAGUCCACGCCGUAAACGAUGUCGAUUUGGAGGUUGUGCCCUUGAGGCGUGGCUUCCGGAGCUAACGCGUUAAAUCGACCGCCUGGGGAGUACGGCCGCAAGGUUAAAACUCA